RNAcentral lists this unclassified non-coding RNA (224 nucleotides) under Homo sapiens (human). Its description in RNAcentral is "ATPase phospholipid transporting 9B (putative) (ENSG00000282266.4)". Lineage: Eukaryota; Metazoa; Chordata; Mammalia; Primates; Hominidae. The record is from RNAcentral.
CUACUACAGCGCCGCGGGGCCCAGGCCGGGAGCCGACCGGCACAGCAGGAACGAGCAUCCGGCACCCUUGUGCAUGUACCCUACAAUGACUGCCAGGCUUGGAUGGAUGUCCCCACUCCUGACUUGGUCUGCCCUGACACCACCUGGGCAAUGGGGAGAGUGUCUUCCUACGGCUGGGGCGUGUGGGAGUCCAGGCUUCACGCACUCUUUGCUGUUCAAUGUAG